GAAAUGCGAUAAGUAGUGUGAAUUGCAGAAUUCAGUGAAUCAUCGAAUCUUUGAACGCACAUUGCGCUUCCUGGUAUUCCGGGGAGCAUGCCCGUUUCAGAAUCAUUAAAAUCUCACAAGUUAAUUUGCUUUCGAGCAUUUUAACAUGUGGAUGUGAAUGUGUUGCACUCUGUGUGCAAACAUUUCAAAGUGAUUGUAUGUGCGCCUUGUUUAUUAACAUUGGUUAUCAAAAGUGCAACAGAUUUAUCUAUUUCAUUUUAAUAAUCAGUGUUACAACAUGGUGUUUCCAUACUCAAAACCCUAUUAAGUGAUGUUGAUUGUAUACGAUCAGCCUUCACUGAUAACUUGGUCUGAAAUCGGGCAAGAAAACCCGCUGAACUUAA
RNAcentral lists this unclassified non-coding RNA (383 nucleotides) under uncultured fungus. RNAcentral describes it as "sequence contains ITS1". The stretch from base 1 to 105 matches the Rfam family "5.8S ribosomal RNA", at positions 50 to 154 of the family's 154-position model. Lineage: Eukaryota; Fungi. The record is from RNAcentral.